RNAcentral lists this unclassified non-coding RNA (229 nucleotides) under plant metagenome. Its description in RNAcentral is "partial contains small subunit ribosomal RNA, internal transcribed spacer 1, and 5.8S ribosomal RNA". The record is from RNAcentral.
UCUCCGUAGGUGAACCUGCGGAGGGAUCAUUACAGAGUUCUCGCCCUCGCGGGUAGAUCUCCCACCCACUGUUAUCGUUACUGUGUUGCUUCGGCGGGCCGCCGGGCCCCGCUCGGCCGCCGGCUCCGGCUCGCGCGCGCCCGCCAGAGGCUCAGCAAACUCUAAAUGUUAGUGUCGUCUGAGUACUAUCACAUAGAUAAAACUUUCAACAACGGAUCUCUUGGUUCUG